RNAcentral lists this ribosomal RNA (468 nucleotides) under uncultured bacterium. Its description in RNAcentral is "partial 16S ribosomal RNA". It matches the Rfam family "Bacterial small subunit ribosomal RNA", at positions 28 to 507 of the family's 1533-position model. The record is from RNAcentral.
GACGAACGCUGGCGGCGUGCUUAACACAUGCAAGUCGAACGGAAAGGCCCUGCUUUUGUGGGGUGCUCGAGUGGCGAACGGGUGAGUAACACGUGAGUAACCUGCCCUUGACUUUGGGAUAACUUCAGGAAACUGGGGCUAAUACCGGAUAGGAGCUCCUGCUGCAUGGUGGGGGUUGGAAAGUUUCGGCGGGUGGGGAUGGACUCGCGGCUUAUCAGCUUGUUGGUGGGGUAGUGGCUUACCAAGGCUUUGACGGGUAGCCGGCCUGAGAGGGUGAACGGCGACAUUGGGACUGAGAUACGGCCCAGACGCCUACGGGAGGCAGCAGUGGGGAAUAUUGCACAACGGGCGGAAGCCUGAUGCAGCAACGCCGCGUGCGGGAUGACGGCCUUCGGGUUGUAAACCGCUUUCGCCUGUGACGAAGCGUGAGUGACGGUAAUGGGUAAAGAAGCACCGGCUAACUACGUG